AAGUCGUAACAAGGUUUCCGUAGUGAACCUGCGGAAGGAUCAUUAACACGUAUCCAACGUUAAACAACCUUGUGAACAUUCAUUCCUGCUCUCCUCGAGCCCUAACAAAACCAAGGACCUCUCUUGUCAGCCCUCGGGGAUUCGUCCCAACUUAGGCUUGGCUUCUGCGGGCCAGUCAGUGGGUGAAAGUGCCACUGAUUGGUUGAGCAGAUAACCGAUUAAAACUCGGAUCAUCGAGUGCCACACGGCCGAUGAACAAGUCUCUGGCGCAAGCCCCCAAAUUAACUACCUCUAAUCCUUAGCGGCCGCCUCGUGCUGUCGCUGUCGUGAAAGCUGAACAACUGUUAACAAUGGAUAUCUUGGUUCUCA
RNAcentral lists this unclassified non-coding RNA (369 nucleotides) under fungal sp. RNAcentral's name for it is "partial internal transcribed spacer region". The stretch from base 1 to 45 matches the Rfam family "Eukaryotic small subunit ribosomal RNA", at positions 1786 to 1831 of the family's 1831-position model. Lineage: Eukaryota; Fungi. The record is from RNAcentral.